This 599-nucleotide ribosomal RNA is filed under the name bacterium 9RD. RNAcentral describes it as "bacterial SSU rRNA". It matches the Rfam family "Bacterial small subunit ribosomal RNA", at positions 77 to 669 of the family's 1533-position model. The record is from RNAcentral.
AGCUUGCUCUCUUGGCGGCGAGUGGCGGACGGGUGAGUAAUAUAUCGGAACGUGCCCAGUAGCGGGGGAUAACUACUCGAAAGAGUGGCUAAUACCGCAUACGCCCUACGGGGGAAAGGGGGGGAUCGCAAGACCUCUCACUAUUGGAGCGGCCGAUAUCGGAUUAGCUAGUUGGUGGGGUAAAGGCUCACCAAGGCAACGAUCCGUAGCUGGUUUGAGAGGACGACCAGCCACACUGGGACUGAGACACGGCCCAGACUCCUACGGGAGGCAGCAGUGGGGAAUUUUGGACAAUGGGGGAAACCCUGAUCCAGCCAUCCCGCGUGUAUGAUGAAGGCCUUCGGGUUGUAAAGUACUUUUGGCAGAGAAGAAAAGGUAUCCCCUAAUACGGGAUACUGCUGACGGUAUCUGCAGAAUAAGCACCGGCUAACUACGUGCCAGCAGCCGCGGUAAUACGUAGGGUGCAAGCGUUAAUCGGAAUUACUGGGCGUAAAGCGUGUGUAGGCGGUUCGGAAAGAAAGAUGUGAAAUCCCAGGGCUCAACCUUGGAACUGCAUUUUUAACUGCCGAGCUAGAGUAUGUCAGAGGGGGGUAGAAUUC